This 440-nucleotide ribosomal RNA is filed under the name uncultured bacterium. RNAcentral describes it as "partial 16S ribosomal RNA". It matches the Rfam family "Bacterial small subunit ribosomal RNA", at positions 338 to 795 of the family's 1533-position model. The record is from RNAcentral.
CCUACGGGAGGCAGCAGUGGGGAAUAUUGCACAAUGGGGGAAACCCUGAUGCAGCGACGCCGCGUGAGUGAAGAAGUAAUUCGUUACGUAAAGCUCUAUCAGCAGGGAAGAAAAUGACGGUACCUGAGUAAGAAUCCCCGGCUAAAUACGUGCCAGCAGCCGCGACAAUACGUAGGGGGCAAGCGUUAUCCGGAUUCACUGGGUGUAAAGGGAGCGUAGACGGUGCGCCAAGUCUGGAGUGAAAUGACGCAGCUUUACUGCGGAACUGCUUUGGAACCUGGCGUACUAGAGUGCGGGUGGGGUAGGCGGAAUUAGUAAAGGAGCGGUGAAAUGCGUAGAUAUAAGGAAGAACACCGAUAGCGAAGGCAGCUUACUAGACCGUAACUGACGUUGAGGCUCGAGAGCGUGGGGAGCAAACAGGAUUAGAUACCCGUGUAGUC